This is a long non-coding RNA of Aethalodelphis obliquidens (Pacific white-sided dolphin), 2356 nucleotides long. RefSeq lists it as uncharacterized. Lineage: Eukaryota; Metazoa; Chordata; Mammalia; Artiodactyla; Delphinidae. The transcript is spliced from 2 exons. The record is from RefSeq and is a predicted model, not a curated record.
UCCGCGGCAUGUGGGGAUCCUCCCGGACCGGGGCACGAACCCACGUCCCCUGCAUUGGCAGGCGGACUCUCAACCACUGUGCCACCAGGGAAGCCCGGAACUUUCCAUUUUGACAUUUGGAAACAUCCAGAGGUCUUUUUGGACAGUAAUGGCUUUUGUCUCUAAACCUAUUCCUGUCAUUGGGAGGGAAGAUGUCUUAAUUUUAUAAAACAAGUGGCACCUCCAGCGUGAGAUUAAUCCAGGGUCGGGCCCUUGGAGGCGACCUUCACCCUGAAACUUUGUGGAGAGGACUUUGGGAGAAAUGCCUCUGGGCCGAGUGUCCGGACUGAGUGUCCAGGCUGCCGCAGCCCACCCUGUCCCCUCCCCCAACUGCAUCCUGGAGAUCUGUCUCCUGGCCUUAUGGUUUUCCUUUGGGUUUUUAAAAGGGGAACAUAUGUGCUCCUGUUUUUGUUCCCUUUCUGCUACCAGGGUUCACUCCUUUAGUUUCCUUAGGCAAUUCUAGCAAAAAUCUCGAGUGAAAGAUGGACGGUGAUAUACUAGGCAAGGAGGCAGCUGGAAAGUCUCCCGAGUUGGCUGUUGUGUUCUGAAGCCCCACCCCCUCUGCAUCCCUGAUGUGGGUACCAAUUCAGGUGCCUUUGAGAUGUCUUCCGACUUGGAAAAGCACUGCCCGCUCCUAGCUGCUUGGGUCUGAACCUCAUUCCAGACGGCAAGUGGCAGGAUGGCGGAGCUGUUCUGGCCAAUUAAGGCUGGCUGUUAUUUUUUAGAGCCUUGCAGUUGGUUCCUUGGAGCGUGUCCACAGCUUUUGCUUUGGGGAGGAAUUGAGUCGGCAGGAGGAAGGCAAGGACGUGGCCCAGCCCCAGGAACUAAGAUGAAAACAGACUAACUCGCAGUCACCUUCUCAACCCAGUUUCCCAUGUUGCCAGGGCUCAGACCCGGUGCCUGCAGCCUCCCUGUCCCAGCUCCGACCCACGCACCCCGCCCACCUUCCCGUGCAGCCUGGAUCCUCUCUGUCCGCCCUCACCUCUGACCUUCGCCAUCUGCUCUCCACGCAGCGGCCGGUCGUCCCGUCAUCUUGAGACUCAGCACUCUUCAGUGGACUCUUUCAGAAGAAAAGCCAAAGGCAAGAGGCCUCAGGAGGUCAGGCCUCGGCCCCGCCACCUCCGUGACUCGGUGUCCCUGCUCGCAGGGACGGCGCCUGCCCCACUGGAUGCUCUUCCCGGACACCCGCAGCCCUCGCCCUCAUGCCCUCUGGGGCCUCAGGUCGCCUUUUCCCCGUCCCGGAGCCUCCGCCUUCCCUGCUGCGUCCUUCUGGGCAGAGGCGGGUCACUGGCUGUCCCCCAGGAUUUGCUUUGGCUACCGCCUGUCUCCUUCUUCACGUGCGGCUCCUGAUAACCAGCGUUCUCGCCCGGACCUGGGGCACCCAGCGCCUAGCACUCAGUCCAUUUUUCCCGAAAGGGACAAUACACACCAAGAGAGAUGCUGAUCUCUUUUCUUCCCCAAAACAAAAUCGCUGGAGACGCUUGAGCCGUGUCGGCUGCCCGGGAACGAGGACGGGCCUUCCAGAUGCUGGGACUCCCAGCGCCAGCAUCCUCACCCGCUUUCUUCUGACCUUUUGAUCCCAAGGCCCAAGAGGUCCAGGAAGAGAGCGGACUGAGCACGUGGGCAGCUGGCACGGGUUCCCAGGCGACUGACCUCCCCCUGCUCUGGAGCCGCGGCCCUGGGAGCUUCCCGACGAUCUCCGACCAGGAUUUGAGGUGAACGGCUUCCCUUCCCGGUCCCAAGGAGAGCAUCUGUCCCCCGGUGCCCUGGACGCCAUGGAACUGGUAAUUGUUGGCCCUGCAUCUUCUCAGGCUGCAAAACUUAAGUCACAGUCUGUUUGUUGCCUCAGUUUCUGGCUUGUUUAUCAAGGUCCACUCCUGAGAAAAACGUCCUGUUAUCCUCUCUCAGGUAAUCUACCUCCAAGGAUCUGCCUCUGCCUGAGACAGAGGGACUCUGUGCUAGGUUCCGAGGAGCCUUGUUUUCCAUUUUCAGUCUCCCAAACUCAAGGACGAGGGACCUCACGAUGUAUAUAGUGUGACUUUCUUUCCUUUUGGCCACAAUCAGAUCAUCUCAAGCUCUAACCCUGGUUCUCUUCCUUUAUCAGAAGCGUGUGUUCUUACUGUUGAUUGUGGCUCUCAUUUACCAAACACAUAACCUCUUUAUCCUCACAAACCCUGGAGUGAGGCCAGCCUCACCUGGGGGACUGGGGGUGAGAGAUCAGAGGCAGGUGACUGCUUGAAGCAAACAGCACGGCCAGGAUUCACACUCAGUCCUGACCUUAAGCUGGAAAUAAAACUGCUUGAAAAAUCAUUUGAAA